UGGGGAAUAUUGCACAAUGGGCGCAAGCCUGAUGCAGCAACGCCGCGUGAACGAUGAAGGUCUUCGGAUCGUAAAGUUCUGUUGCAGGGGAAGAUAAUGACGGUACCCUGUGAGGAAGCCCCGGCUAACUACGUGCCAGCAGCCGCGGUAAUACGUAGGGGGCUAGCGUUAUCCGGAUUUACUGGGCGUAAAGGGUGCGUAGGUGGUCUUUCAAGUCGGUGGUUAAAGGCUACGGCUCAACCGUAGUUAGCCUCCGAAACUGGAAGACUUGAGUGCAGGGGAGGAAAGUGGAAUUCCCAGUGUAGCGGUGAAAUGCGUAGAUAUUGGGAGGAACACCAGUAGCGAAGGCGGCUUUCUGGACUGCAACUGACACUGAGGCACGAAAGCGUGGGUAGCAAACAGGA
This 404-nucleotide ribosomal RNA is filed under the name Verrucomicrobiota bacterium. RNAcentral's name for it is "Verrucomicrobia bacterium partial 16S ribosomal RNA". It matches the Rfam family "Bacterial small subunit ribosomal RNA", at positions 355 to 777 of the family's 1533-position model. The record is from RNAcentral. Lineage: Bacteria; Pseudomonadati; Verrucomicrobiota.